UAGGGAAUCUUCGGCAAUGGACGAAAGUCUGACCGAGCAACGCCGCGUGAGUGAAGAAGGUUUUCGGAUCGUAAAACUCUGUUGUUAGAGAAGAACAAGGACGUUAGAAACUGAACGUCCCCUGACGGUAUCUAACCAGAAAGCCACGGCCAACUACGUGCCAGCAGCCGCGGUAAUACGUAGGUGGCAAGCGUUGUCCGGAUUUAUUGGGCGUAAAGCGAGCGCAGGCGGUUUCUUAAGUCUGAUGUGAAAGCCCCCGGCUCAACCGGGGAGGGUCAUUGGAAACUGGGAGACUUGAGUGCAGAAGAGGAGAGUGUACUUCCAUGUGUAGCGGUGAAAUGCGUAGAUAUAUGGAGGAACACCAGUGGCGAAGGCGGCUCUCUGGUCUGUGACUGACGCUGAGGCUAGAAAGCGUGGGGAGCAAACAGG
RNAcentral lists this ribosomal RNA (429 nucleotides) under Gemmatimonadota bacterium. Its description in RNAcentral is "Gemmatimonadetes bacterium partial 16S ribosomal RNA". It matches the Rfam family "Bacterial small subunit ribosomal RNA", at positions 355 to 776 of the family's 1533-position model. The record is from RNAcentral. Lineage: Bacteria; Pseudomonadati; Gemmatimonadota.